UGAGUAACACGUGAGUGACCUGCCUUUUAGACUGGAACAUCUUACCGAAAGGUGAGCUAAUGCCGGAUGAGGUAUAUAAGUGCAUGUUUAUAUAGGAAAAGUUGGGGAGACCUGACGCUGAAAGAUGGACUCGCGUCCCAUUAGCUAGUUGGUAGGGUAAUGGCCUACCAAGGCGACGAUGGGUAGCCGGCCUGAGAGGGUGGCCGGCCACACUGGGACUGAGACACGGCCCAGACUCCUACGGGAGGCAGCAG
This 254-nucleotide ribosomal RNA is filed under the name uncultured bacterium. Its description in RNAcentral is "partial 16S ribosomal RNA". It matches the Rfam family "Bacterial small subunit ribosomal RNA", at positions 107 to 354 of the family's 1533-position model. The record is from RNAcentral.